This is a long non-coding RNA of Herpailurus yagouaroundi (jaguarundi), 112 nucleotides long. RefSeq lists it as uncharacterized. The transcript has 3 exons. The record is from RefSeq and is a predicted model, not a curated record. NCBI's taxonomy places the organism in Eukaryota, Metazoa, Chordata, Mammalia, Carnivora, Felidae.
GUUCAUACGUGUGCUCUUUGAUGCCUGGAUUAGAAAAAGCCCAUACUUCUCAAGUUCCACAAGAAUAUUCCUUCAGGGAAUGCAAAACUGAAAGUGGUUAAACAUUUAAAAA